This 426-nucleotide ribosomal RNA is filed under the name uncultured cyanobacterium. RNAcentral describes it as "bacterial SSU rRNA". It matches the Rfam family "Bacterial small subunit ribosomal RNA", at positions 414 to 853 of the family's 1533-position model. The record is from RNAcentral. Lineage: Bacteria; Bacillati; Cyanobacteriota.
GCCUGUGGGUUGUAAACCUCUUUUCUCAAGGAAGAAGUUCUGACGGUACUUGAGGAAUAAGCAUCGGCUAACUCUGUGCCAGCAGCCGCGGUAAUACAGAGGAUGCAAGCGUUAUCCGGAAUCACUGGGCAUAAAGCGUCUGUAGGUUGCUUAUCAAGUCUGCUGCUUAAAGACCAGGGCCUAACCCUGGGAAAGCAGUGGAAACUAGUAGGCUUGAGUGUGGUAGAGGUAGAGGGAAUUCCUGGUGUAGCGGUGAAAUGCGUAGAUAUUAGGAAGAACACCAAUGGCGAAAGCACUCUACUGGGCCAUAACUGACACUGAGAGACGACAGCUAGGGGAGCAAAUGGGAUUAGAUACCCCAGUAGUCCUAGCCGUAAACGAUGGAUACUAGGUGUUGCACGUAUUAACCCGUGCAGUAUCGUAGCU